Molecule: long non-coding RNA, 669 nt
Filed under: Heterocephalus glaber (naked mole-rat)
Lineage: Eukaryota; Metazoa; Chordata; Mammalia; Rodentia; Bathyergidae
Description: lncRNA (ENSHGLG00100048472.1)
Source: RNAcentral
GUUUUUUUUAUUGAAUGCAGUAUCUUCAAGCUGUACUUCAAAGGUGGAGAUGGGGAACAGGUUUAAUGUCAGAUAGCUUGGAAAUGAUAGCAAAUCAUCAUUCCUUCUUAGAAACCCAUGGUGCCUUCUGUGUGUCAGAAGCUCUUGAGAUGUGCUGCAAACAGAUCUGUUUUGACCUGAAUCCCCUAAACUUUGAGUGCCUUUUAAAGAUGCAAUGCUGAUGAAUAAAACAGUAAGCUAGGAACACACUCUAGAACACUGGCAUGAAGACUGUGAGGCGGAUAUUCUGAGGACGUGAAAGUGCCCGGGGACGGAGCCCUGGGAAGGCUGGCGGAGAGAACACAGGGACAUUCUUCCUGCCAAUCUUUUAUAAAUUAUCCAGGGGAAGUGAUUCUGUAAAGCAACACACAGUGGAAUGCUUCAUCUGACAUAACUUCCUUCGUUUUUCAUCCAGUUGAAACGAUUCCAGGAGCCUCAACUAGCAAUCAAGUUGGGAGAAAAGUACACAGCACGUUCUCCAAACCCAGCCGUUCCUUGAGCUGUGGUGGGGCCCGGCACCCUUGUUUCCUUUCCCAGGAUUCACCGUGAGCGGUGGGCAGAGUCUGGGAACAGCCUAAUGACUGAGGACACUUCAUUCCCAGCGACCGAAGGGAUGAGUGAGAAUGCUGG